CCCUCACAGCCACCGAGGGCCAGCCUGCUCACCCCUCACAGCCACCGAGGGCCAGCCAGCUCACCCCUCACAGCCACCGAGGGCCAGCCAGCUCACCCCUCACAGCCACCGAGGGCCAGCCUGCUCACCCCUCACAGCCACCGAGGGCCAGCCUGCUCACCCCUCACAGCCACCGAGGGCCAGCCAGCUCACCCGUCACAGCCACCGAGGGACUAAACAGUUGAGAGAUCAGUGAAGAGAAAUGAUGGAGCAGAGGGGUAGCUAUAGCUACGAGCCAUGGUGUGUGUGUGUGUGUGUGUGUGUGUAUGUGUGUGUGUCACGCCGUGGGGCUCGGAGAGACAUACUAUUCUCCUCUUCACUGACUAAUUGGCACACACAGGAAGAGGCCAACCCCUGGUCCAUUGGUUAAUUUAGGAACCUGGGACUCAUUCAGGCCUACUAAUCUAAUGACAUUACUAUGCGUUACUGACUGACUGACUGACUCGUGCUACACACUAACCUGGUACUCUUCCUUUCAGCUCUGGCCUGGUAGGCCUCCUACUCAGUGUGACAUAGCUACUAGAUAUAAAAAGUCCAAACUCCAUGACCCUCUCCCUCUGGGUAAUUUUUAGGAUAUUCAUGGCCUCGGCUUCACUUUGCCUGUUCUGACAGGGCUUGUGCACAAAAAUAACCCCGACAGGCAGGCAGUAAGAAAAGGCAGGUAGUAAGAAAAGGCAGGCAGUAAGCAAGGCAGGCAGGCAGUGAGAAAAGGCAGGCAGUGAGAAAAGGCAGGCAGUGAGAAAAGGCAGGCAGUGAGAAAAGGCAGGCAGUAAGAAAAGGCAGGCAUAAGAAAAGGCAGGCAGUAAGACAGGCAGGCAGUAAGACAGGCAGGCAGUAAGACAGGCAGGCAGUAAGAAAAGGCAGGCAGUAAGAAAAGGCAGGCAGUAAGAAAAGGCAGGCAGUAAGAAAAGGCUC
RNAcentral lists this long non-coding RNA (954 nucleotides) under Salmo salar (Atlantic salmon). RNAcentral's name for it is "lncRNA (ENSSSAG00000102897.1, ENSSSAG00000117939.1)". The record is from RNAcentral. Lineage: Eukaryota; Metazoa; Chordata; Actinopteri; Salmoniformes; Salmonidae.